GCUAAAUAUAUCCACAGAACCGAUAGCGAACAAGUACCGUGAGGGAAAGUUGAAAAGCACUCUGGAGAGAGAGUCAAAAGACCGUGAAACCGCUCAGAGUAUAAGCCCAUGGCAGCUUGGAAGGCGUGUCGCUAGCGGGGCGUCGCUGUUGCCAGCAAUGGUGAACGGGCGCAACCUUGCCUCAGCAAUGGCUCGUCAGGUAGGGGGGUCGAGUCCAUAUCCCGCCGUCGUGAGGGAGUGAGUGUUGGCGUGUUGGUCCUUCGGGAGAUCCUCGUGGUCGAUCGUUGGGCACUUCGCGUCGGCCUCUCUCUUGAUCACGGACGUUCAGACGCUGGGGCAAGACGCGACAAAUCAGCCCACCACGGCACGUUGUGAGGUCACCCACAGGCUCGACUAUCGAUCGCGACUCUUGACGAUGAGCAAGCAAGCGUGUGCGUCGCAAUAAUUUCCUUACCGGGCACCCCUCAAAAGGGGGGCCAGGACGGUGGAUGGACGCACGCUCAACAGUCAGAGUCGGGCGGUGACUGAGUAUUCCUGGUAUGAUCCUCUUGCGACGAGCCGGCUUCUGGCCUUUCCGGCGACCGGGUCUGCGCCUGUGCCGCGUAGACCUUUCCUAAAGACGGUUUGGAGCUCUUUGUGAGCACCUCUCAGUCGGUCGCCGGGACGAGUGGUGUAAAGUCCAAGCCCAUCGGUCACGUCUCGAAACACGGG
This 711-nucleotide ribosomal RNA is filed under the name Mesogammarus melitoides. Its description in RNAcentral is "partial 28S ribosomal RNA". The stretch from base 1 to 93 matches the Rfam family "Bacterial large subunit ribosomal RNA", at positions 465 to 559 of the family's 2925-position model. The record is from RNAcentral. Lineage: Eukaryota; Metazoa; Arthropoda; Malacostraca; Amphipoda; Mesogammaridae.